CAGCAGUAGCCACGGGAAUACGGAGGGUGCAAGCGUUAAUCGGAAUUACUGGGCGUAAAGCGCACGCAGGCGGUCUGACAAGUCAGAUGUGAAAUCCCCGGGCUUAACCUGGGAACUGCAUUUGAAACUGUCAGGCUGGAGUCUUGUAGAGGGGGGUGGAAUUCCAGGUGUAGCGGUGAAAUGCGUAGAGAUCUGGAGGAAUACCGGUGGCGAAGGCGGCCCCCUGGACAAAGACUGACGCUCAGGUGCGAAAGCGUGGGGAGCAAACAGGAUUAGAUACCCGUGUAGUCCCUGUCUCUUAUAC
This 304-nucleotide ribosomal RNA is filed under the name uncultured bacterium. RNAcentral's name for it is "partial 16S ribosomal RNA". It matches the Rfam family "Bacterial small subunit ribosomal RNA", at positions 506 to 807 of the family's 1533-position model. The record is from RNAcentral.